RNAcentral lists this ribosomal RNA (253 nucleotides) under uncultured bacterium. Its description in RNAcentral is "partial 16S ribosomal RNA". It matches the Rfam family "Bacterial small subunit ribosomal RNA", at positions 524 to 776 of the family's 1533-position model. The record is from RNAcentral.
UACGUAGGGGGCUAGCGUUGUCCGGAAUCAUUGGGCGUAAAGCGCGCGUAGGCGGCCCGGUAAGUCCGCUGUAAAGGUCAAAGGCUCAACCUUUGAAUGUCAGUGGAUACUGCCGGGCUAGAGUCCGGAAGAGGCGAGUGGAACUCCUGGUGUAGCGGUGAAAUGCGCAGAUAUCAGGAAGAACACCAAUGGCGAAGGCAGCUCUCUGGGACGGUACUGACGCUGAGACGCGAAAGCGUGGGGAGCGAACAGG